GAUGAAGAACGCAGCGAAAUGCGAUACGUAAUGUGAAUUGCAGAAUUCAGUGAAUCAUCGAAUCUUUGAACGCAUAUUGCGCUCUUUGGUAUUCCGAAGAGCAUGCUUGUUUGAGUAUCAGUAAACACCUCAAAGCUUUUGGAUUUUUUAAUCGAAAAGCUUUGGACUUGAGCAAUCCCAACACCAAUCUUUUUGAGAUCGGUGGCGGGUUGCUUGAAAUGCAGGUGCAGCUGGACAUUCUCCUGAGCUAAAAGCAUAUUCAUUUAGUCCCGUCAAACGGAUUAUUACUUAUGCUGCAGCUAACAUAAAGGGAGUUUGACCGUAUUGGCUGACUGAUGCAGGAUUUCACAAGGGUCGGCAACGAUUCUUGUUAAACUCGAUCUCAAAUCAAGUAAGACUACCCGCUGAACUUAAGCAUAUCAAUAAGCGGAGGA
This 434-nucleotide unclassified non-coding RNA is filed under the name soil metagenome. RNAcentral's name for it is "partial contains 5.8S ribosomal RNA, internal transcribed spacer 2, and large subunit ribosomal RNA". The stretch from base 1 to 120 matches the Rfam family "5.8S ribosomal RNA", at positions 35 to 154 of the family's 154-position model. The record is from RNAcentral.